CCUACGGGUGGCUGCAGUAAGGAAUAUUGGUCAAUGGACGCAAGUCUGAACCAGCCAUGCCGCGUGGAGGAUGAAGGUCCUCUGGAUUGUAAACUUCUUUUAUUUGGGAAGAAACUCCCGAUUUCCAUCGGGAUUGACGGUACCAGAUGAAUAAGAACCGGCUAACUCCGUGCCAGCAGCCGCGGUAAUACGGAGGGUGCAAGCGUACUCGGGAUACAGGGUGUUUAGGUGGGCAGGUAAUGCACUGGUGAAAGCUCCGGGCUUAACCCGGAAACUGCCAUUGAUACUAUUUGUCUUGAAUACUCUGGAGGUGAGCGGAAUAUGUCAUGUAGCGGUGAAAUGCUUAGAUAUGACAUAGAACACCCAUUGCGAAGGCAGCUCACUACGGAAAUAUUGACGCUGAGGCACGAAAGCGUGGGGAUCAAACAGGAUUAGAUACCCCGGUAGUC
Molecule: ribosomal RNA, 449 nt
Filed under: uncultured bacterium
Lineage: Bacteria
Description: partial 16S ribosomal RNA
Rfam family: Bacterial small subunit ribosomal RNA
Source: RNAcentral